UUUUUUUUUUUCACUCCAUUGCUGUGAUCCAUAAACUGUGAGUUCCUGCUCCUGUGUUUCUCUUUAAUUUUAUAUUCUUUUUCCUGUGUUCUUCAUUUUAAUUAAAAAGAGGUGUUGACUUGAAGUGAUUUGAAAAGAAAUAAAACAUGGACGAUGUGGUGUAUUUAAGGCUAUUCUAAGAAGAAUAUAAUUCAGUAUGCAACUAAAAUUUAGCUAAUCUAUCUAUAUAUUAGCAAAGCAAACUUAAUUUAUGAUGUUAGCUUAUUUAACUUGUAAUUCUUGAAGCAAAUUAAGAUUUAUGUCAAGUUCUUCCUCAAAUCCAGUGAUAACUUUGAGUGAAAACUGAAACUACGUGUGAAACUUUUGAAGUGCAUGUAAGAGUGUUUUUUGGGUGCUUGAUGGCCAGAGCAACUGAAGUACUGAACUGGAUGUGAGAAAAGUGGUUGCUGAUGUGGAAAAAAGGGGCAUCAGCAGCUGUCACACCCAAAUGACAUGGGUUGUAAUGUUCCUUAUGCGACUGAAAUCUCUGAAUUUUUUCAUCUAAUAACAUAACAAGAUACUUAGUUCUUGUGAUGAAACAGUUGUUUGAUUGUUUCAUUACUUAAUGGCCAUUAUUUAUAAACCUGGUUCAAUUUGCCUUUCUAUGCUUUGUCUGUGGCUGUUAUGUUACUAAUGUUGCAAGUAUUAUGCUGCAUCAUGCUUCUUGUUAAUAAGCAGAUAUUUAGAUUCACAUACCUUUUUAAUUGAAACAGAUAUGCUUGAACACGAAGAUACGA
Molecule: unclassified non-coding RNA, 776 nt
Filed under: Hevea brasiliensis (rubber tree)
Lineage: Eukaryota; Viridiplantae; Streptophyta; Magnoliopsida; Malpighiales; Euphorbiaceae
Source: RNAcentral